GUGUGUAAAUUGUGAACCCUUGUAAAGGUAUUGAGGAAAUAGGGUCCUAUUCGCAAAAUAACAACUAUAAAUUACAUAAUUUUUCCAUCUGCAGUGCGUUUGAUUUGUCCGAUAAUGGAAUACACCAUUGAGCCCAGCAUUAACGUGCAAACUGAGUAGGUAGAUAUGCGUUCCAGUAUCGCUUAUGGGUGGAACGCAUGACAACAUCCGGUAAUGACGCGGUGCGCUCCACAGGUGAUGCGGUUGGAACGCAAAGCGGGGAGAUCCGCGGCAGACGUGCCAAAUGAGAUCUUAAAACUUCCCAGCCCCAAUACGUCUCUCCCUGGGCUUAACAUACAUUCCCCCUCUCUGGGCUUAAUCAAUCCCAUUAGGUUAACUGAUGAUGUUAUAUACAUUCAUCUCAGUUACAGGAAGUACGCACUAGGCGGAAGUCCAUGCGUUCCACCAUGAUCUAGGUGGAACGCAGGACGAAAGCCUGCUAUUUAAGUUGUUAUAUGAACAUUAAGGUCAUUUUUUAAGACCUAUAUGGAUGACAAUUUCAUGCUGUACAGAGCAUAGGGUAGAUUUCCCAUGCUACACCUUGGAUAUACACUUAUUUAGAUCUAUUCGAUCAACCAAUCAUUAGAGCAUAGGAAGUGAGGUAAUUCACUCCUAGGUAUAAAUAGGCCAGAUAUAGCCUCUCCAGUUCACUUACCAUCCAGGAGAGGAGGCUGACACACAUCCAGAACCUUUUAGUCUGCUUUCCUCACUGGACAUUCUGUUUGGUGUUAUUGGCUUGACUUUAAAAUCCCUUGUGAACUUUCAUUAAUCUUGGAGGACACAAUCUAAUUGGUCAUUUGCCCCAUAAUUAAAUAAAGUACCUACAAGGAACCACAAUUAAGGAGCAGCUGAUUAGAAGUUCACGAGAGUUUUUAGUAUCAUUAUAGAUAUAUAUCACGUUUUAACACUCUUCACAGUGAGAUCAUCUUGUAGGAAAUUUGCUAAAGCAUUAUUCCACUGUGACUUGUACCCCUGAUGAAGUCCAUAAUGGACGAAACGCGUUGGGUUUUAUGAGAUAUAUAUAGCAUACACUGUUUCUGCAUAAAUGUGUAUUGUGCUUAUGGAACAACGUGUAUGACAAAUUUUAACGUGUAUUAAAAAUAAUCUUUCUAUCAUUCCGGUUAUGCUGGUUGGAUUUUACUUUGAGUAAUUAUUUCAAUUUUAAUUAUGCCAUUGUAUCUGUGCGCACUCUGAAUAUUUGUGUUAUAUUUUAUCUAUCGUCUCCCAC
Molecule: long non-coding RNA, 1267 nt
Organism: Pseudophryne corroboree (corroboree frog)
Lineage: Eukaryota; Metazoa; Chordata; Amphibia; Anura; Myobatrachidae
Exons: 6
Source: RefSeq, a predicted model, not a curated record